CGGCAUAGCUCAGUUGGUAGAGCAGCGCAUUCGUAAUGCGAAGGUCGGAGGUUCGACUCCUCUUGCCGG
RNAcentral lists this transfer RNA (69 nucleotides) under uncultured Parasutterella sp. It matches the Rfam family "tRNA". From Rfam's summary of the family: Transfer RNA (tRNA) molecules are approximately 80 nucleotides in length. Their secondary structure includes four short double-helical elements and three loops (D, anti-codon, and T loops). Lineage: Bacteria; Pseudomonadati; Pseudomonadota; Betaproteobacteria; Burkholderiales; Sutterellaceae. The record is from RNAcentral.